RNAcentral lists this ribosomal RNA (986 nucleotides) under Enterococcus faecalis. RNAcentral's name for it is "partial 23S ribosomal RNA". It matches the Rfam family "Bacterial large subunit ribosomal RNA", at positions 1932 to 2912 of the family's 2925-position model. The record is from RNAcentral. Lineage: Bacteria; Bacillati; Bacillota; Bacilli; Lactobacillales; Enterococcaceae.
GGCCGUAACAAUAACGGUCCUAAGGUAGCGAAAUUCCUUGUCGGGUAAGUUCCGACCUGCACGAAUGGCGUAAUGAUGGCCAGGCUGUCUCCACCCGAGACUCAGUGAAAUUGAACUCGCUGUGAAGAUGCAGUGUACCCGCGGCAAGACGGAAAGACCCCGUGAACCUUUACUAUAGCUUGACACUGAACAUUGAGCCUUGAUGUGUAGGAUAGGUGGGAGGCUUUGAAGUGUGGACGCCAGUCUGCAUGGAGCCGACCUUGAAAUACCACCCUUUAAUGUUUGAUGUUCUAACGUUGACCCGUAAUCCGGGUUGCGGACAGUGUCUGGUGGGUAGUUUGACUGGGGCGGUCUCCUCCUAAAGAGUAACGGAGGAGCACGAAGGUUGGCUAAUCCUGGUCGGACAUCAGGAGGUUAGUGCAAUGGCAUAAGCCAGCUUGACUGCGAGCGUGACGGCGCGAGCAGGUGCGAAAGCAGGUCAUAGUGAUCCGGUGGUUCUGAAUGGAAGGGCCAUCGCUCAACGGAUAAAAGGUACUCCGGGGAUAACAGGCUGAUACCGCCCAAGAGUUCAUAUCGACGGCGGUGUUUGGCACCUCGAUGUCGGCUCAUCACAUCCUGGGGCUGAAGUAGGUCCCAAGGGUAUGGCUGUUCGCCAUUUAAAGUGGUACGCGAGCUGGGUUUAGAACGUCGUGAGACAGUUCGGUCCCUAUCUGCCGUGGGCGCUGGAGAACUGAGGGGGGCUGCUCCUAGUACGAGAGGACCGGAGUGGACGCAUCACUGGUGUUCGGGUUGUCAUGCCAAUGGCACUGCCCGGUAGCUAAAUGCGGAAGAGAUAAGUGCUGAAAGCAUCUAAGCACGAAACUUGCCCCGAGAUGAGUUCUCCCUGACUCCUUGAGAGUCCUGAAGGAACGUUGAAGACGACGACGUUGAUAGGCCGGGUGUGUAAGCGCAGCGAUGCGUUGAGCUAACCGGUACUAAUGAACCGU